AAAUUUAAAUAAUAAGGGUGAAAAAUUGAAUAUUAAUUUGAUUAAUAUCAAUUUAAAACCAGUUGACUAGCAUAUUGAAAAACUGGGUUUCUGAUGACUUAGAAAAAU
Long non-coding RNA from Octopus sinensis (East Asian common octopus), 108 nucleotides. RefSeq lists it as uncharacterized. The transcript is spliced from 3 exons. The record is from RefSeq and is a predicted model, not a curated record. NCBI's taxonomy places the organism in Eukaryota, Metazoa, Mollusca, Cephalopoda, Octopoda, Octopodidae.